This 20-nucleotide microRNA is filed under the name Corchorus olitorius. RNAcentral describes it as "bta-miR-23". Lineage: Eukaryota; Viridiplantae; Streptophyta; Magnoliopsida; Malvales; Malvaceae. The record is from RNAcentral.
UAUAUUUUUUGUUUUUUUUU